Non-coding RNA from Pelobates cultripes (western spadefoot toad), 322 nucleotides. NCBI's taxonomy places the organism in Eukaryota, Metazoa, Chordata, Amphibia, Anura, Pelobatidae. The record is from the annotation of a GenBank genome assembly.
GGGAGAGAGUAGUGACAGAGAGAGGGAUGGGGUGACUAGUGACAGAGAGAGGGAUGGGGUGACUAGUGACAGAGUGAGGAAGGGGGUGACUAGGGACUGUGGGGGUGAUUAGUGACAGAAUGAGUGAGGGGGUGACAGUGACAGAGUUAGGUAGGGAGUGACUAGUGACAGAGUCACUACCUCCCUCUGUCCCCAGUCAUCCCCUCACUCUGCCACUAGUCAUCUCUUCCCUCCCUCCCUCACUCUGCCACUAGUCACCCAUUCCCUAUCUCUGUCACUAGUCACCCCCUCUCCCUCCCUCUGUCACUAGUCAUCCACUCCC